RNAcentral lists this ribosomal RNA (512 nucleotides) under uncultured bacterium. Its description in RNAcentral is "bacterial SSU rRNA". It matches the Rfam family "Bacterial small subunit ribosomal RNA", at positions 8 to 518 of the family's 1533-position model. The record is from RNAcentral.
AGAGUUGAUUAUGGCUCAGGAUGAACGCUGGCGGCGUGCUUAACACAUGCAAGUCGAACGGAGCUUUUUGAAGGAGACUUCGGUCAACGGAAGCUAAAGCUUAGUGGCGGACGGGUGAGUAACGCGUGAGUAACCUGCCUUUCAGAGGGGGAUAACAUCCGGAAACGGAUGCUAAUACCGCAUAAAACAGCAGCACCGCAUGAUGCAACUGUCAAAGAUUUUAUCGCUGAAAGAUGGACUCGCGUCCGAUUAGGUAGUUGGUGAGGUAACGGCCCACCAAGCCGACGAUCGGUAGCCGGACUGAGAGGUUGAACGGCCACAUUGGGACUGAGACACGGCCCAGACUCCUACGGGAGGCAGCAGUGGGGAAUAUUGCACAAUGGGCGCAAGCCUGAUGCAAGCAACGCCGCGUGAGGGAAGACGGUUUUCGGAUUGUAAACCUCUGUUCUUAGUGACGAAGAAGUGACGGUAGCUAAGGAGCAAGCCACGGCUAACUACGUGCCAGCAGCAGC